AAACAUGAUAAUCGUUGACCGGGAGAAAAUGCCAUAUUAAUAAUACAAAAUGCAUUAAGUCCGCCUUGUGUACCUUAUUUUAUGUGAAUCAAAGCGUUAAUAAAUAAAUAAUCGUGGCAGCACGCUUGUUGAAGGAAAGGUUUAAAAGUAAAAAUAAUUUAAUUACAUUGUUUAAAGAAAAUUAUCUAAUUAUGCAAACAAGAUUUUGUUCUAAUUUAAUUAUAACUUACUAAUUAAACAAAUGUUGUAAUAACUUAGUUUGAAAAAAGACAACCAUUCGAAAUUAUAGAAAAUUUUACAAUUUCUUUGAGUCGAACGCACAAGUCUCCGGAAAUGUAUAAGCUGUUAGAUAUUAUUUUAAUGUUUCUGUUCAUCGUCGCUGACUGUAAUGCAGGCUCGGUAUACACGUCUGUUCACAACGUACGUCAAGAAUCGAAUCAAAGCCAGGAUCCACGAUGCGUCAAACGGAAAGAACAUGCUCCCUAUGGAUGGGUCUGCAAGGUGGCCAUGGAAAGUUGGUAUUACGACAUCAAGAAAAAUGACUGCUUUUUUACCUCAGUCGGUGAAUGCGGGGAGACUAGUGACAAUUUUUACACAGAACAUGAGUGCGCAAUUGCCUGUAUGUACGAAGAAAACAAAAACAUUUAAUUGAACUCUUAACGAGAACGACUCAGAUAAGAAGUAGCAUCACUUCCAACAUCUCCAGAGA
Molecule: long non-coding RNA, 709 nt
Organism: Spodoptera litura
Lineage: Eukaryota; Metazoa; Arthropoda; Insecta; Lepidoptera; Noctuidae
Source: RefSeq, a predicted model, not a curated record